Molecule: ribosomal RNA, 261 nt
Filed under: uncultured Oscillospiraceae bacterium
Lineage: Bacteria; Bacillati; Bacillota; Clostridia; Eubacteriales; Oscillospiraceae
Description: partial 16S ribosomal RNA
Rfam family: Bacterial small subunit ribosomal RNA
Source: RNAcentral
AAACCAGAUAUGACUUAGUGGCGGACGGGUGAGUAACACGUGAGCAACCUGCCUUUCAGAGGGGGAUAACGGCUGGAAACGGUCGCUAAUACCGCAUGACACAUACUGAUCGCAUGGUCGGUAUGUCAAAGAUUUAUCGCUGAAAGAUGGCCUCGCGUCUGAUUAGCUAGUUGGUGAGGUAACGGCCCACCAAGGCGACGAUCAGUAGCCGGACUGAGAGGUUGAACGGCCACAUUGGGACUGAGAUACGGCCCAGACUCC